Lycium barbarum (goji berry) is the source of this 3247-nucleotide long non-coding RNA. RefSeq lists it as uncharacterized. NCBI's taxonomy places the organism in Eukaryota, Viridiplantae, Streptophyta, Magnoliopsida, Solanales, Solanaceae. The record is from RefSeq and is a predicted model, not a curated record. The transcript is spliced from 6 exons.
UGUACGUUUGGCACUCUUAAAAAUCUAAAACCCCCGUCUCUCUCUCUCUCUCUCUCACUUUCUACGCCGCCCUACCCUCGCCCACAUCGCCGCUAGCCAGAUCCGUCGCCACCCAGCUAGCUCCGGCGUCCAGUACGCUGUCACCAACAUCUAUUUCAGCAGAAUGUGAAAUAGCAAAGCAUCAAGUUGAAUUAUUCAGCCAAUGAAAAAGUCAGGAAUAGGAGGAGGGGUGGCUUGCUGAAUCUCAAAUUCAAAAGCUCAGAUAAAUUUGAAAUAGAAUGUAACUGCGAGAUAUGUUCCUUUGUUGGAUUUGACGGUUGAAGAAGCUGAGUUAUUGGCUCAAACACCGAUCAUUUCACCUGGUGGUUGUGUCUCAAAAGGUUUCUGGUGGUAUUAUCAAGGGUGUUACCACCGGUCUGCUUAAUGAAUUGGCCGUUGAGACUUCUGCUUGCACAGCUGAAGGAACCAGAAGCUUGCUUCUCGACUUUCAGGUUGAGCAGAAGGAUGUAGAUUGUGCCAAUAUCACCCUUCAGUUCUGGAGUUUGAAGGCAGAAGUGGGACGCUAUGAAAUCACAAUCGGGGGGCGAGAUGAUGUUUGCUUUGCAAUAUGUGGAUGUUUUGGUUACAAAUUGGGACGCUCAUGGUCACACUUAAUGCUCACCAAGGAGCUCAAAUUUCAUUAAUGGGAUAAGUUGGAGUGUUCUUUUGAAAAAUUGCACAGAUGCCUGAGGGAUAUAAGGUAUAAGGUUAUGAAUUUUACCGUAGAGGAUAAUUUUCGUAUCUUAAAGUUAAUACUUGCAAAUAGUAUACCAAUGCCUUGAUUUUAUAUAUCUUCUUUUGGUAAAUAAGAGAGCCAUCAAUAUUGGUGAAUCAAGAGAGUAUUAGUAGGGAAAGAAAAAGCAGUAUUGGUAGUGAAAUAAUUGAUACUUCCCUUUAUAAAUGAGUUUCUUUAGAAAAUCAGAGCUUUUUUUCUUGGAUAUCCUGCAACCAUGAUGAAGGUAAAGUGAAGAUCAAACUUUCCAUUUGGUUUGUUUUCCAGCUAUUGAAAAGGGACCUCAUGUUUUUUGGUCUAUAAAGCUUCACAGGGAUUCUUAAUGAGGCUUCAUAGGAAGUUUGUUGCAGCAGUUAAUCAGUUAUGCAUUGGAAGUGAUUUUCUUUAGCAUCACUGUGGAGGAUUUUGACCUGAUGAAUGUUGAUGGACUUACAAGAGGGAAUGUGGCAAGCCAUCUCCAGGUAUCUUUAUAUAGUUUCAUAUGUUGCCUUUAAUCUGCUUUCUAUUUUUACAGAUGGGAUAUAUGUAUGCAAUCCAUGUACAGUGUUUAUGAAUUUUGAAUUUAUUUGGCUCUUGAACUAAGCAUGGAAAGAAUUAUAUAUCCUUUCUUUUAUUACCAUGCUCUGAAUAUUCAACUUUUAGUCUUCAUCAUAAAAUCUGCCUUUUGUCGAUAUCUUUUCUUUGAGGAACACUUCUAAGAUGGUGUGAAGUAGUAGCCGUCUGUCCUGCUUAAACGACAGGUUUGUACUGCGUAACUUUCUUUUGAAGCUUUUCAUUCUCAGGAACAAAAAACUCUCUUUUGAAGCUUUUUAUGUAGUGCCACUAAAUGUUUCUUCAAGUUACACAAGUUUAAUUGAGGCUGCGAAUUCGGAAGUUAAAGAAGGUAAGCAUGAAUCUAAUAAACCAAGAGCGCAAAAUCUUGUGAGAUUAAGGCAAAAAUUUCCUAAGUUUACUGCCUAGAAAAUAGAACCUUCUGGUGGUGAGUAUGUGAUAGGGUGGUAAUUAUAUUCUAGUUUUUUCAGCUUCAUCCAUUGUCAUCCUCUUAACUGAUUAUUGCAUUUUCGUUUGAUAUCUUUAUUUUUAAUUGUUCCUACCACGGUCGGCUUCUAGCUGCAAAGCAGUGUUAACAGAUUAGCUUGCCCCUUGAAGCCUUUCCUGAACAUAUCCAUGUAAUGUGCACACAAAUCUCAUAUUCAUAUACAUAUGAACAUAAUAGAGUAUAGUGAAAGCUAUAUCUGAUUAAUAAAAAUUCAUCAAUGUUUAAAAAAAGGGAGGCCAGAUUUAAGUUUAAGCUUUUGCUGGAUUCAACAUUUAUAUCCUUGCUCCCUUUCUUGGAAAUAAUUAGUGAAAGCACUAAAAUGAUUUCAAAGAUUCUUAAUCAUUUAUUGUAACUAAAUCUGUUGUCUUAUCUUUUGCUAUGAGCAAUUGUAUAUUUAUGUUAUGGUAUGAGUAGUGGUUGUUUGUGACAUUUUGCAAGAGAAAGAAUAAGAGGCAAGGAACUCUUACUAGCCAAUACAUUUAUUACAUCUUAAUGGGUAAAUCUCCCAAUCCCUAAUCGAGUGAUUUGUUUGUAAGCUAAAACCUAUUAACUGACAAAAUGUUUCAUAUAGAGAAGUUCUUACAUUACUUCUAUAUGAGAUAUAUAAAAGGUAGUUUGAGUGCACUUUUAAGUUAGUGGGUAUCGUUGUGAGAGCGCUUAUAAAAAAGAAGUGAUCGUUAAUUUGGGAUGGAAAGUGCAAAGGUCUUUGCCAAAGAAGAAAAUCUACAGAGAAGGUUCAAAAUAUGGAAUAUUUUAGUCUAGAUCAUAGGUGUCAAUAUUUUUAGCUGCUAGCUUAAUAUAAAAUACAAUUCUGAGAGUAUUUGUGUGCCCUUUUCGUGUACUUUCUGACUGACUAGAAACUUAAAAACGUUGUUGAGAAUUAGCUGCUUAAAAUAUUAUACUUCAAAACUUCAAAUUUCCGUAAGCAACUGGGCAUUCCAGAGUGCUCUUCUCCUCUGCAUAUUUCAUCUUGCAUAUUAAUAUUUACAUAUAUGAUUUGAGCUUGCUUUUCCUUUGAAGGUGAUACUGAUUCUGGUAUAAAAAGAUAAAAGACUCUUGAGCUGGGCAUUGUAGCAGAUGUUCAAGAGGGGAAGAUGGGCCAGUGGUCUCGUGCAAAUAUUGCACUAUCCUAUUAUUAGGCAAUGUAUUGAAGAACCUAUUGUUUAUGAUCGUCUGUUUUCGUAUCUAUAGAUAAGAGUACUAUUCCAUUAGCACUGGAAUAUUUGAAACAAAAACUAGCACAAUGCCUAAUAUGUCUGCAUGGGCAGCCUUCAUCUAGUUUGUAAAAAUGUGAAAGUGUUUGGUGGAUGUUUGUGAAUGUUGAAGUAAUUUGAUGUUGUAGACUUAACUUAAUGUAGACUAGGAUAAUGUUUUGUGGAUGUUUGCAAAGGUUGAAGUAAUGUUUUUUGUGAAUGUUGAAUUACAUUUUGAUUCAA